GUAAAAGGUUUUGCCUUUUGAGUAUGUUUUUAAAUUGUGUGUUUUUUUUACAAAGUCGCCAAGUUGGCAACACUGCAUCCACGUGUGCCGAUUGACGCUUGUAGUGUCAUCCAGUGACGUUACAGUCAGUGAUUUGUUGGAGUUGUCGCCGCUUGCAGUGGAUAACGCAGCGUCAUCGUCACGUGGUCUCUGCAAAAAGACGACAAAAGAAAGAUGGCUGCCACUGUGCUAGCUACACCUUUACCCCUUCUUGCUUCUACUUUGGGAUUUUGAAGCAAAGCUGCCAUGGCGAAGCAAAGAAGGCAAAAGACUUCAGUGCAAGAUGCCCUGGAGCACAUAGUGGCUUGUAGAGACAAACCCUUUCUGGAGCAAAGGUUUAUUGACUCCUUUAAAGGGAGAGGGGUGUUCACCCACAAAGCCAUUGAACCAUCCAUGUUUGUUGUUGAAUAUCGGGGGAACAUCUUUUCUCACAAAGACACAACGCCUAAGAAGAAAUGUGCCGAUUAUCUGAACAAUUAUUUGUUUGAGUUUUCAUGGAAAGGAGCAGAGUGGUGGUAAGGUUUAUCAGACAUGGUUUAGUUAUUUACAGGUUAUUAACUUGUUUUGAAAACAACAUGAUUUAAAUGCAGUCAUUUUUAAGAGAGUUUGAAGUUUCAUUAAGAGUAUUUUGCUUUGUAGUGUUGAUGCCUCAAAAGAGGAUGGGACUCUUGGACGGCUCGUGAAUGACGAUCACAUAAGUCCCAACUGUGAAAUAAAGAACAUUGUCUGUGAGGGAAAACCCCACAUGUGCCUGUUUGCAGUGACGGAAAUAUCUCCAGGAGAGGAGAUAACUUACAACUAUGGGGACUCAUCUUACCCGUGGCGCUCAAAGGUAGGUUGUGUUAUACAAGGAGCCUUGCUUUUGAUCACUGUAAUUGAAUUAGUGAGCCACUUGCAAGUAUCAGGUACUCCUAGCUAGAACUAA
Molecule: long non-coding RNA, 964 nt
Filed under: Cottoperca gobio
Lineage: Eukaryota; Metazoa; Chordata; Actinopteri; Perciformes; Bovichtidae
Description: lncRNA (ENSCGOG00000017495.1)
Source: RNAcentral